RNAcentral lists this ribosomal RNA (466 nucleotides) under uncultured bacterium. RNAcentral's name for it is "partial 16S ribosomal RNA". It matches the Rfam family "Bacterial small subunit ribosomal RNA", at positions 28 to 507 of the family's 1533-position model. The record is from RNAcentral.
GAUGAACGCUGGCGGCGUGCUUAACACAUGCAAGUCGCACGAUGAAGCCCAGCUUGCUGGGUGGCUUAGUGGCGAACGGGUGAGUAACACGUGAGUAACCUGCCCUUAACUCUGGGAGAAGCCUGGGAAACUGGGUCUAAUACCGGAUAGGUGCCACCACCGCACGGAGGGUGUUGGAAAGCUUCAGCGGUCUUGGAUGGACUCGCGGCCUAUCAGCUUGUUGGUGGGGUAAUGGCUCACCAAGGCGACGACGGGUAGCCGGCCUGGGAGGGUGACCGGCCACGCUGGGACUGGGACACGGCCCAGACUCCUACGGGAGGCAGCAGUGGGGAAUAUUGCACAAGGGGCGCAAGCCUGAUGCAGCGACGCCGCGUGAGGGAGGACGGCCUUCGGGUUGUAAACCUCUUUCAGUAGGGAAGAAGCGAAAGUGACGGUACCUGCAGAAGAAGCACCGGCUAACUACGUG